Long non-coding RNA from Lactuca sativa (garden lettuce), 658 nucleotides. RefSeq lists it as uncharacterized. NCBI's taxonomy places the organism in Eukaryota, Viridiplantae, Streptophyta, Magnoliopsida, Asterales, Asteraceae. The record is from RefSeq and is a predicted model, not a curated record.
AUGGUCCAUAUGAUUUGUUUUUGUCACCUCUUUGGUCUAUGUGGCAUAUUAAAAUUCUAAUUUGCACUAACUCAUUCCUUUCUAGUUUAUUUAUUUAUUAUAACUAUUUAUAUUAUAAAAAAAUAUAUGGAUCGCAUUCCUACACCACCCUUUAACAUUCUCUAUCACCCUCUUCCAUAUGUUCCACAUUCCUUAACUAUUUAUCGUUCAAGAAAACAAUCUCCGUUGAGAUUAUCUUCUCCAAGUGAUGAAUCGGUAACCGCCUAUAGCACCUUCCCCGGCGUUGAACCAGAUUUUUCGAAGACUAUGUGGAGUAGCAAUGAUCAGUUGAAUGUGAAAAUCAAAUGGACUUGAAGAUUGAUGAACAUUGGGCUUGGUGACUUUUGAAGAUGGUGCAAAGUGGGCUAGUUGGGGAAUGGAGAUUUGAAGAAAAUAUAGGCUAUUUGAUUUAUGAAGAAUUGGAUUGUGGGCCUUGGACUUAAAGAAAAUGGAAGCUAUUAGUCUGUUAUGAUAUUAAAAUAAUUAUAGGGUAGCCGACAUUAUCUUUGUAUUUGUGAAGGUAGCUUUGUGUAAAUAUGUCCUAAAUAGUCUAGGGUUGCCACAUUGUAUUAUAUAUUUUUGGAUCUGUUUCAAUAGAGAACACGGAAGAUUCAUAACA